UGUCCUGGUAACGUAAAAAUUAUAUAAUUUUAUACCAUGUAAAUCCUUUGACUGUGGCUCCCAGUCACAAACCAAAUAUGAAUCAAGAAUAGUCCAAGGAGCUGGAUAAAGUGCUGUCUUAAUCUCCAAAUUUACCAAAUCUUCAUCCAGUUAGGUAUACAUCAGAUGUUCAACGCAACAAAAUCUGAUCCCAACUCUCGAUUUCAAGGACCUGAUGCUAACACCUUGCUGCCAGAGACCACAAUAUAUAUUUGGGGGAUCUAAUGGAAACCAUUGCUAGCCAGAAUAAAGGUUGUUUUGGCAGCAAAGGGGGGUAAACACACCAUUACUCCUGUGGUCAUAAUGUUGCACACUAAUAAGCCCAUUUGGGAGACUGGAAUCUCCCAUUAUGAUCUCGGGACGUUUUGACUGCUUUCGUGGAUAAAUCUUCUAGUACGGACGCAAAAGUACAUUCCAGAGUUUGUAAUGUCAAGCAAAACAUUCAAGUGUGGUGAGACAUUUCCAUCACCAGAGUGUCACAGAGUGCAAAAAUGUGGAUGAAAGAUUUAUGGAACGAUGGUUACUUAUCAACAGAGCAGUUAGAACUUCAGGGAAAACAAACGACAUCUUGUCCAUACCUUUGGCUUACACAGUAUGGAAAAUACCUGUUUUAUAAUAUGUUACAUAAUAAAUGUUUUUCUUUGACUCAUUUACAUGUUUGAAAACACCACAACCACUGAAAGUACCUGUGAUGUUUUCUUACAUAUCUAUAUGUCCAGCAUGUGUGGGUUGUACAUUGAGAUUACCUCGAGUUCUGAAACCACCGCUCUAAUAACCGUUAUCAAUAAACAGAGGCAAAAAUGUGCCUGUAAGACCAAAGUAUGGGAUGUUAAAUAUUAACUAUGAACACUGACAAAGGUAGCUGGCAGAGACAGAAGAAGCACAAACCAGUUGGGGAACUCAACGAGAAAGGUAAAACACUUGUUUUCCAGCGGUGCUACAGGAAGUCUUUGUCGCUGAAGUGAUUUUAAGUCUGAAAUUGCUUGAUCGAGGAAAUGCAGGAUGUCUCUCAAACAUCUUGAAUUUGUGUAGACAGACUUGUGCGUCAAGAGCUGAUUUUUAAUUUCCUAGAUGCAGAGCUCUCGACCACAACUGUACGAUUUCCACGGAGUCGCGAUGACUCACUGCGUCACCGACAACUGGGAGAAGGUUAAAAACUUUCAGGCCAGACCAGACGACAUACUCAUUGCGACAUACCCGAAAGCAGGAACUACGUGGGUCUCCUACAUCCUUGACCUGUUGUAUUUUGGACGAGUAUCUCCAGAGCGUCAGUCGUCCAUCCCCGUCUUUGAACGAGUUCCUUUUUUGGAGAUAGCGGUCUCUUCUGUGGCUUCAGGAACAGAGCUGGCAGACCUGCUGCCCACCUCCCCUCGGCUCAUUAAGACUCACCUCCCGGUUCAGUUGGUGCCUCAGUCGUUUUGGGAUCUGAACUGUCGGAUGGUGUAUGUGGCACGCAACGCGAAGGACAACAUGGUGUCUUUUUACCACUUUGAUCGCAUGAACAUGGUGCAACCGGAGCCUGGAGAAUGGAGCAGCUACUUCCAGAGGUUCCUGGAUGGGCAGAUGUUGUAUGGGUCGUGGUAUGACCAUGUGGGAAACUGGUGGAAUAAGACGAAGACCUAUCCCAAACUUCAUUAUAUGUUCUAUGAAGAUAUAGCUGAGGACACUGAGAGGGAAAUAGACAAACUUUGCUCCUUCCUCGGGUUAUCCCCGUCAGCUGAAGACAAAAAGACCAUCGUUGAACUGGUGCACUUUGAUAAUAUGAAGAACAAUGAGAUGACCAACUGUUCCAAACGCCCAUUCUUUGAUUUCUCAAUUUCUCCCUUCAUGAGGAAAGGAAAAGUUGGUGACUGGAAGAACCACUUCACUGUCGCCCAGAAUGAAGCGUUCAACGAGGACUACAAGAGCAAGAUGAAAGAUCCGACACUUCGGUUUCGCACCGAAAUAUAAAACUGGACCUGGCGUAUUGCAGAUCUCUUAUGGCGAAGGGGAUAUUUUGAAAUUCAAAGGAAUGGAUUCUGAAAUGUGCCCUGUCCCUUUCUAAUACCUCCCUGUGCAACUGCCCAAAAAUACUGGGAGAACAUGUGACCCCCUCAGAGAGUUAGUGCUGUGAAAUCAGGGGUCAGAAAAGUCACCUGGAGGUUCUGACUGAUCGGAGCAGUUAAUCCCCACGCAUGAAAACAUGCCGAACGGCGUCCACAUCCAAACAGCCCCUGACAGAAGGCCUGCCAUCUGAUCAGUUAAAUAAAAACAAGAACACACUCGGGCCAGCCGGUCAAAUUCACAUGCAGCAGGAAAGGGAGCUGUUUUCAUCCCGCCACAACAAAAACAUCACGGGUUACAU
Poecilia reticulata (guppy) is the source of this 2383-nucleotide non-coding RNA. The record is from RefSeq and is a predicted model, not a curated record. Lineage: Eukaryota; Metazoa; Chordata; Actinopteri; Cyprinodontiformes; Poeciliidae.